CAGUAGCCGCGGUAAUACGAAGGGGGCUAGCGUUGUUCGGAAUUACUGGGCGUAAAGCGCACGCAGGCGGCUCGAUAAAUUAGAAGUGAAAGCCUUGGGCUUAACCUGAGAAUUGCUUUUAAGACUGUCGAGCUAGAAUCCAGAAGAGGGUAGUGGAAUUCCGAGUGUAGAGGUGAAAUUCGUAGAUAUUCGGAAGAGCACCAGUGGCGAAGGCGGCGACCUGGUCUUUAACUGACGCUGAGGCGCGAAAGCGUGGGGAGCAAACAGGAUUAGAUACCCCUGUAGUCCCUGUCUCUUAUAC
RNAcentral lists this ribosomal RNA (301 nucleotides) under uncultured bacterium. RNAcentral's name for it is "partial 16S ribosomal RNA". It matches the Rfam family "Bacterial small subunit ribosomal RNA", at positions 509 to 807 of the family's 1533-position model. The record is from RNAcentral.